AGUGGACUAGGGAGCUCUGCACAGUUUUAUUCAAUGCUGUGAGAUUCUUCUAAUCUACUGG
RNAcentral lists this microRNA precursor (61 nucleotides) under Bactrocera dorsalis (oriental fruit fly). RNAcentral describes it as "microRNA bdo-mir-958 precursor". Its record names the gene bdo-mir-958. Lineage: Eukaryota; Metazoa; Arthropoda; Insecta; Diptera; Tephritidae. The record is from miRBase by way of RNAcentral.